AAUCAACGCUGGCGGCGUGCCUAACACAUGCAAGUCGAGCGCGAAAGCGGGGCAACUCGCGAGUAGAGCGGCGAACGGGUGAGUAACGCGUGGGUGAUCUUCCUUCGAGUGGGGAACAACAUCGGGAAACUGGUGCUAAUUCCGCAUAACACCCUGGGGCUACGAGCCUCAGGAUCAAAGCCGGGGACCGCAAGGCCUGGCGCUUGAAGACGAGCCCGCGUCCGAUUAGCUAGUUGGCGGGGUAAUGGCCCACCAAGGCUUCGAUCGGUAGCCGGCCUGAGAGGGCGGACGGCCACACUGGAACUGAGACACGGUCCAGACUCCUACGGGAGGCAGCAGUGGGGAAUUUUUCGCAAUGGGCGAAAGCCUGACGAAGCAACGCCGCGUGGAGGAUGAAGGUCUUCGGAUUGUAAACUCCUGUCGACCGGGACGAAUGCACCCGACCUAAUACGUCGGAGUGUUGACGGUACCGGUGGAGGAAGCCACGGCUAACUCUGUGCCAGCAGCCGCCGUAA
This 515-nucleotide ribosomal RNA is filed under the name uncultured bacterium. Its description in RNAcentral is "partial 16S ribosomal RNA". It matches the Rfam family "Bacterial small subunit ribosomal RNA", at positions 29 to 523 of the family's 1533-position model. The record is from RNAcentral.